RNAcentral lists this unclassified non-coding RNA (345 nucleotides) under soil metagenome. RNAcentral describes it as "partial contains 5.8S ribosomal RNA, internal transcribed spacer 2, and large subunit ribosomal RNA". The stretch from base 1 to 120 matches the Rfam family "5.8S ribosomal RNA", at positions 35 to 154 of the family's 154-position model. The record is from RNAcentral.
GAUGAAGAACGUAGCGAAAUGCGAUACGUAAUGUGAAUUGCAGAGUUCAGUGAAUCAUCGAGUCUUUGAACGCACAUUGCGCCCCCUGGUAUUCCGGGGGGCAUGCCUGUCCGAGCGUCAUUGCUGCCCUCAAGCACGGCUUGUGUGUUGGGCCUCCGUCCUCCUCCCGGGGGACGGGCCCGAAAGGCAGCGGCGGCACCGCGUCCGGUCCUCGAGCGUAUGGGGCUUUGUCACCCGCUCUUGUAGGCCCGGCCGGCGCUUGCCGACACAUCAAUCUUUUUUCCAGGUUGACCUCGGAUCAGGUAGGGAUACCCGCUGAACUUAAGCAUAUCAAUAAGCGGAGGA